GUAGGGUGCAAGCGUUAAUCGGAAUUACUGGGCGUAAAGCGUGCGCAGGCGGUUUUGUAAGUCAGAUGUGAAAUCCCCGGGCUUAACCUGGGAACUGCGUUUGAAACUACAAGGCUAGAGUGUGGCAGAGGGGGGUGGAAUUCCACGUGUAGCAGUGAAAUGCGUAGAGAUGUGGAGGAACACCGAUGGCGAAGGCAGCCCCCUGGGUUAACACUGACGCUCAGGCACGAAAGCGUGGGGAGCAAACAGGAUUAGAUACCCUGGUAGUCCACGCCCUAAACGAUGUCAACUAGUUGUCGGGUCUUAACGGACUUGGUAACGCAGCUAACGCGUGAAGUUGACCGCCUGGGGAGUACGGUCGCAAGACUG
RNAcentral lists this ribosomal RNA (369 nucleotides) under uncultured bacterium. Its description in RNAcentral is "bacterial SSU rRNA". It matches the Rfam family "Bacterial small subunit ribosomal RNA", at positions 527 to 896 of the family's 1533-position model. The record is from RNAcentral.